GCUGUCAACUGUCAAUUCAUCCCUCCAGACCACCUAGUCUUUUUUUCAACUUAAAGGGUCUAUACGUCGCGUCGUCCAUAUCUGUUUUCACUGUUUCUAAAUAGAUAAUAACUGAAAUAUAUUUGCAAUGAAUGCAACUUCAUUAAAAAGACCUUUACCGUCCGAUAGUCCUGGAUGUUCAAAAACUCCCAAGACCACCAAACCAUUCGAAUUCCCGAAGCAGCCUCAGCCUUAUACAGAUGAUAUGGCUGUUGUCCGCUGCAUAUACAGUAAGUCUUUGUGUUCUGUGCAUCUGAGCUGUUUUUGUGUUCGUGCCGAGGUCGAUGGACACAAUUUUCCGUGAUUUCAAGAAAAAUCAAUCAAUCCCACGGUGCAAAAAUACCGCAAUUUUCAACUACGUAAAAGGUCGCCAGGGAAAUUUUAUCCCUUUCAAAACUUCGGGUGCUGGACAAUUGCUUGUGACAAACGAAUUACUUUCGAUUCUAAUGGAAAAAUAUGAAAAUGACCAAGACUGUAAAGUAGAAUGCGGGUUUUUUGUGUAUCCGGUGAAAAAAUUAGAUUAUUUCUCGACUACAGUAUCACAAGAACAGGAAUAUUGGAAGAAAAAACUUGGAUCAUUUCUUAGUGCAUUGAUUGAAACCGGCGAAACAGUCGGCUACAUUGCAUCUCCAUGUUGGCACAAACAAUUGAACUGGAAUUCGUUGUACACAAUCAGCACUAAGUCGUGCAUUCCAUACAACGUAUACGUUCAUGAAAGUUACCCGAUCGAAUACGAAUGGCACCGAUAGGAAGGCUUCGCGGUGCCGUGUACUAAGUAGUGAGGCUCCACACCUGUCCACACCCUUAGGAGAAUUGAAAAUGUCCGACACAUACAUUUUACCUGAAGGAGACUAUGAACAUUCAAGUGAUGAAAACGAGUUUGAAAGCUCGAGUAUUGGUACAUUACGUCAAGAAGACAAUCGAACAUACAGACAUAAACUAUCUGUAAUACGUCAUCAAAGCGAACGUCCAUCCACUUUGCUAAAAUUCAUAAAUUCGGAAACAGCAAGAAGCAUGUGGAGCAGUGUCUGAAGUACAUACAUAGAGAAGGGAAACAACUAGGGAAGAAAUUCAAUAUUGUGACGAUAACUUUUGGCAGCCGAAGCUUUCGGGCUUCCAAAUUUGCCGACUUUUCACUCUUUCUCCAACAUCAGGAUCUCCAUGAAAGCGGAUUUGUGUUUUGUUGCAGUGCUGCUAAUGUAGUGGCUGCAGAAAAUGCAAUGCCAGAAAUCCCGCACCACCCACCGUCCUAUUUCAUGGACUGCAAACACUGUAUCGUUGUUGGCUCAUAUGCUCUCAACUAUGAAAAACAAUUCUGUGUGCCAUCAACAUUCGGUAGUGCUGGUUGCUGUGUCAGCGAUGAAGGAGAUACAGAGGAGAACUGUAGACAAGGUGUAACUACGUGGGCUUUGGGUGAAAAUGUUGUGAUUCCCAAAAUUAAGGACCAAAAGUACGACCAUAUUGUCAGUGGAACAUCUGUUUCAACAGCGGUGGUAAGUGGUGCCGCUAGUUUGAUUUUACCGAAAUUGAUUACGUAUAUAGACAGAAUGAAAGCAGACAAAUCAUGUUAUUCAUUGAAGUUUAAAAAUUUCCUUAACAACAAUUGUGACAAUUUUGUAUGUCCACGGCAUGGAACUAACAGAAAAAUAAUUUUAAAUCUAGAGAAAUUUAUGAAUCUGUCUGGUUAUGCAAAUAAACGUUAAUUU
Molecule: long non-coding RNA, 1745 nt
Organism: Bradysia coprophila
Lineage: Eukaryota; Metazoa; Arthropoda; Insecta; Diptera; Sciaridae
Source: RefSeq, a predicted model, not a curated record